Myotis lucifugus (little brown bat) is the source of this 75-nucleotide non-coding RNA. NCBI's taxonomy places the organism in Eukaryota, Metazoa, Chordata, Mammalia, Chiroptera, Vespertilionidae. The record is from Rfam.
GGUGGUUCUUAGGUGACACACCCUGAAAUCAGGCUCCCUCCUCUCUGGUUCCGGUUGUGUUACCUGGGAACCACA